GAUGAACGCUGGCGGCGUGCCUAAUACAUGCAAGUCGAGCGAACAGACGAGGAGCUUGCUCCUCUGACGUUAGCGGCGGACGGGUGAGUAACACGUGGAUAACCUACCUAUAAGACUGGGAUAACUUCGGGAAACCGGAGCUAAUACCGGAUAAUAUAUUGAACCGCAUGGUUCAAUAGUGAAAGACGGUUUUGCUGUCCCUUAUAGAUGGAUCCGCGCCGCAUUAGCUAGUUGGUAAGGUAACGGCUUACCAAGGCAACGAUGCGUAGCUGACCUGAGAGGGUGAUCGGCCACACUGGAACUGAGACACGGUCCAGACUCCUACGGGAGGCAGCAGUAGGGAAUCUUCCGCAAUGGGCGAAAGCCUGACGGAGCAACGCCGCGUGAGUGAUGAAGGUCUUCGGAUCGUAAAACUCUGUUAUUAGGGAAGAACAAAUGUGUAAGUAACUAUGCACGUCUUGACGGUACCUAAUCAGAAAGCCACGGCUAACUACGUG
Molecule: ribosomal RNA, 497 nt
Filed under: uncultured bacterium
Lineage: Bacteria
Description: partial 16S ribosomal RNA
Rfam family: Bacterial small subunit ribosomal RNA
Source: RNAcentral